This is a long non-coding RNA of Apis dorsata (giant honeybee), 1882 nucleotides long. RefSeq lists it as uncharacterized. NCBI's taxonomy places the organism in Eukaryota, Metazoa, Arthropoda, Insecta, Hymenoptera, Apidae. The record is from RefSeq and is a predicted model, not a curated record. The transcript has 6 exons.
UGCUAAUCUAUAAAAAUAGCUUAAUUAAAAAUCAAAACGUAACAAUAUGAAUCAAAUCAUCUAAAUCACGUAUAUGCAAUCAAAUAUCAAAACGAUAAAUGAGUAUAAAGCCGAAAAAAGAAAUAUAGCAUUAAAAUUCUCGUUUUGAAACAUCGAUUGAUGAGGAGGCCAAAAAUGAAGAGCAACUGAGAGCUUUCCCUAAAGAUAUGAUCAUGAUAAGAAGAAAUUGUGGAAAAAAGAACGGCAAUAAAAAAAAAUCGGAUUGAAACGUGGCCAACAGAUUGAGAUCUGUUUGUUGUGCAUAUAUCGACCUGAAUGCAUAUGUUCCGAUAUCAGUCAGAUCCUAUGCAUACAUAACCUCGAAGAAAAAUUAUGUUACGCUUCGAUGUCAUUUCUUUCUGAUCUAAUAAUAUAUUUCAAGACAAAAAGUUUUAUAUUUACAGAUUUUAUGCAGCAAGUUCUAAAGCAAGUUUCUUUACAAAUAUGAAUGAGAUAUAUUAUUAAUUCUGAUUGAAUUAUAUUAGACUUGACAAUUUCAUUAAGGAAAAUUUGUACUAUAUAAUCAAAAGAAUUGAAUUUAAAAAAGUCGAAAAUGUAUACUCCAUUUGUAUACUCGUAAAAUAUAACAGAUUCCUGCCAGUUAUUCGUCUACUUUUUAAUAUGAACGACCGUGUUUCUCGUCCAGAACGAGUUUUAUUUUGUACAUUUUUUCUGAUUUUAUGGGUCGAAGAAAUCUUCGGUAGUUCUGAUUGAAUAUAAUGAUUUUAAAGAACAAGAUCAAAAACGAAUUAAUCAAAACAAAAUGAAAGAAAGAAUACUUUGAAAAAAAAAAAAAAAAUAAAUGCGAUCAUCUCGAUCGACAAAGUAUUUCAGAAGGUUGGAUCACAGUAGUCGAAGCCACGCGUAUUACGAGAAGGGGAGGCGGUUAUAGAGGAGCUGAGGAAAAAAGAAAGAAGGAGGAUGGACUGGUCCCGUAAUUGAAUGUGCCGAGGUGUAUGAUUUCGUCGAUUUAUCCUGAGGCGCGAGCGAGCCGCGGCUAAUUUAAGCUAAAUGCCCGCCAGUAAACGCAGCCGUGGCCUGAUAAGUUCCCUUGAUUUAAACGGUUCCGAGACACGGUCAGAAGCAUCGACUCUCUGUACUUUCGCGUCGUUAAGGAAACUAAUUAAACGGCAGGGCCACCGUCGAUGAGCUUCUCUCUUUUCUCCCUAUCCGCGUUUCAUCCCCACGCGUAUGCAAAGAAACCGCUAAAGCGACAAGGCGAAUGAAGGGAAAAAACGAACAGGUAUAACCCCGAGUGUAUACUUAGCCACGGUUAUUCUAUAUCUAAUUAUCGUCUUACGCGGUCUAUUAUCGACGAUUAUUAAGGAUCACGCGCCUCGAUCAUCGACAAUCGAUUGCCUCGAGACAUAUAAAUCUGCGAGAACGGCUGGGUGCAAGCUUGUUAUCAAAAUCUAUUAUGUUUUCCGUAAUUUGAACGGCGUCCCGAUCGUUCCGUUUUAAUUGCGACCCGAUGGUAGAAGGAUCGUGAUUAGGGAGGGAGCGAAUGUUCUCUUUUCUACGAAGAAAUUGCUCCCUUGUCGUUCACCGGAUAAGAUUUCUUGAUUUAAGAGACUCGUAAUUAAAUAGUAGCCCGCCUAUCAUCAUCGCUACCGUUUGUCGUUUCGUGACUAUCGAGAAAUUCCACGAAAAUUUUUUAAAAAUUAUAUACUCGUUGAACAGAAGCUUUAGAAAUUUCAUGAUCAAGUAAGAUUCAAGGAGAUAGUAAUGAGAUACACGGUUUGUAAUAAAAUAAAAAAAUUUUCUUGCAUGCUUUAAAUAUACUUACAUUAAUUUCGAAAUGAAAAUUUUUAAAUCUAAAAUCAAUUUUCUUCAUUACAUUAGU